ACAUUUCACAGUCGCCAUGACGACCGGGAGGUCCGCUCGUCAACGGCUAGUCAACGGCUGCGGGGACAAGUCCGUUGAGGCUGCCAGGCGAGUCAGGCCUUUCUGGACCUCGCCUGACUCGGAUGGGCUGUGCCUGAAAUUGACCCAGCUCCACUAGGGAUUAUGAAGAAACAAGGAGUAAACCCAAAGCCGCUGCAAUCUUCCCGCCCCAGCCCGUCUAAGCGGCCGUACGGGGCCUCCCCCGCCCGGGAGCUGGAGGUGGAAAAGUCGGCCCUAGGCGGCGGGAAACUGCCAGGGGGCGCCAGGAGGUCCUCCCCGGGGAGGAUCCCAAAUCUGAAAAAGCGAAAAGGCUUGGAGCUAAAGGUGGUGGCCAAGACCCUUCUCGACCCCUUCCAGUUCGUCCGUAAUUCCCUGGCGCAGCUCCGGGAAGAGGUGCACGAACUGCAGGCGCGGUGGUUCCCCAGCAGAACCACUCUCAGCAUCGCCAUCUUUGUGGCAAUUCUACAUUGGUUACAUUUAGUAACACUUUUUGAAAAUGAUCGUCAUUUCUCUCACCUCUCAUCUUUGGAAUGGGAGAUGACUUUUCGCACUAAAAUGGGACUUUAUUAUUCCUACUUCAAGACCAUCAUUGAAGCACCUUCAUUUUUGGAAGGACUGUGGAUGAUUAUGAAUGACAGGCUUACUGAAUAUCCUCUUGUAAUUAAUACAGUAAAACGCUUCCAUCUUUAUCCAGAGGUAAUCAUAGCUGCCUGGUAUCGCACAUUCAUAGGAAUAAUGAAUUUAUUUGGACUAGAAACUAAGACCUGCUGGAAUGUCACCAGAAUAGAACCUCUUAAUGAGUUCAAAGCUGUGAAGGAUUGGGAGAUCCUGCUUGCUUUUAUGUUGGUGUAAUCUUUAUUUUAAAUGGACUAAUGAUGGGAUUGUUCUUCAUGUAUGGAGCAUACCUGAGUGGGACUCAACUGGGAGGUCUUAUUACAGUACUGUGCUUCUUUUUCAACCAUGGAGAGGUUUGUUUUCUAGAAAGCAAUUUUUAAGAAAUAGAAGAGGCUGUAGAGGAACAAGGAAAUAUACUCAUCAAAACAAUAUUUAAUUGUAUACUACUUAUGACUUCACAAUAUUUUAAAGACCCUCGUGUUGACCUCAAGCAAUGAUAGAAGGCCCUUCAUUGCACUCUGUCUUUCCAAUGUUGCUUUUAUGCUUCCCUGGCAAUUUGCUCAGUUUAUACUUUUUACACAGAUAGCAUCAUUAUUUCCCAUGUAUGUUGUGGGAUACAUUGAACCAAGCAAAUUUCAGAAGAUCAUUUAUAUGAACAUGAUUUCAGUUACCCUUAGUUUCAUUUUGAUGUUUGGAAAUUCAAUGUACUUAUCUUCUUCUUAUUCUUCAUCUUUGUUAAUGACGUGGGCAAUAAUUCUAAAGAGAAAUGAAAUUCAAAAACUGGGAGUAUCUAAACUCAACUUUUGGCUAAUUCAAGGUAGUGCCUGGUGGUGUGGAACAAUCAUUUUGAAAUUUCUGACAUCUAAAAUCUUAGGCGUUUCAGACCACAUUCGCCUGAGUGAUCUUAUAGCAGCCAGAAUCUUAAGGUAUACAGAUUUUGAUACUUUAAUAUACACCUGUGCUCCCGAAUUUGACUUCAUGGAAAAAGCGGUAUGAAUGUUUCCUUUUUCCUUCUUUACUAAUAUGAGUUUUUGCUCUAGGUUUUUUUAAAAUCUGAAACUCAAAAUUUUUGCACAGAAACAGUCAACUUAUUUUAUUUUUUUUACUGUAACUUUUGCUAAUCUACCUUCCUCACUUGUUUUUUUGUCUGUUAAAAAAAAAAAUAGCCUCUAUCUUAUAGAGUUAUUGAUGAUGGUUAAAUGAGAUAAUCGGAGAAGAGUGUUUAACAUACUAUAUGACCCAUAAUAAUUACUAUUAUUACAAAUCAAUUACUUUUAAUAAUCUAGGCCACUUGGAAAUAUGGGACCAUUCAGGAAAAAGUCUAAAUUCUUGUUUCUGUUUUUAAGAAAUUCAGUUUUAUUACAGUUAACACCCCAAAUAUUAUAACAUUUUUAACAAGAUGUUAUCAAGAAAGGUAUGCUACUGAUGAGUUUUAAUGAACAUAUAAAAAUUCAUUUUAAAUUAUACAAAUGCAAGGUAUUAUUCUUUUUAAAAAGUUAAUGUUAUAAAGCUUUAAAAUAUAGGCUGGGCGUGGUGGUUCAUCCCUGUAAUCCCAGCACUUAGUGAUGCUGAGGCGGGUAGAUCACUUGAGGUCAGGAGUUUGAGACCAGCCUGACCAACAUGGUGGUAACUCCAUCUCUACUAAAAAUACAAAAAUUAACCAGGCAUGUUGGUGCAUGCCUGUAGUCCCAGCCUGAGUAGGAGGCUGAGACAGGAGAAUUGCUUGAACCCUGGAGGCGGAGAUUGCAGUGAGCUGAGAUUGCACCAGUGCACUCCAGCCUGGGUGACAG
This 2444-nucleotide long non-coding RNA is filed under the name Homo sapiens (human). RNAcentral's name for it is "novel transcript". The record is from RNAcentral. Lineage: Eukaryota; Metazoa; Chordata; Mammalia; Primates; Hominidae.